CGUUUGGCAGAGUAGCUGCAAAGGCACUUUGGUGACUCUAGAGAACCUCGGGCCAAUCGCACGUCCCCGUGAUGGCGACUUUGCAUUCGGAUGCCUGCCCUAUCAACUUUUGAUGCCACUUUCUGCUCCUACUAUGGUGACCACGGGUAACGGGGGAAUCAGGGUUCGAUUCCUGAGAGGGAGCCUGAGAAACGGCUACCACAUCCAAGGAAGGCAGCAGGCGCGCAAAUUACCAACUCCUGAUGCGGGAAGGUAGUGACGACAAAUAAAACAGGACUCUUUAGAGUUCACUUGAAAUCCUUUAACUAUGAUAAAUUGGAGGGCAAGUCUGGUGCAGAGCAACUGACCCAAGCG
Pelobates cultripes (western spadefoot toad) is the source of this 354-nucleotide non-coding RNA. The record is from the annotation of a GenBank genome assembly. Lineage: Eukaryota; Metazoa; Chordata; Amphibia; Anura; Pelobatidae.